RNAcentral lists this ribosomal RNA (659 nucleotides) under uncultured Alphaproteobacteria bacterium. RNAcentral's name for it is "bacterial SSU rRNA". It matches the Rfam family "Bacterial small subunit ribosomal RNA", at positions 56 to 759 of the family's 1533-position model. Lineage: Bacteria; Pseudomonadati; Pseudomonadota; Alphaproteobacteria. The record is from RNAcentral.
UGCAAGUCGAGCGAUCGCAGCAAUGCGGGAGCGGCAGACGGGUGAGUAACGCGUGGGAACGUACCCUCCGGUUCGGAAUAACUCAGGGAAACUUGAGCUAAUACCGGAUACGGUCGAGAGGCGAAAGAUUUAUCGCCGGAGGAUCGGCCCGCGUUCGAUUAGCUAGUUGGCGGGGUAAUGGCCCACCAGGGCGACGAUCGAUAGCUGGUCUGAGAGGAUGAUCAGCCACAUUGGGACUGAGACACGGCCCAAACUCCUACGGGAGGCAGCAGUGGGGAAUAUUGGACAAUGGGCGCAAGCCUGAUCCAGCCAUGCCGCGUGAGUGAUGACGGCCUUAGGGUUGUAAAGCUCUUUCGCUAGGGACGAUAAUGACGGUACCUAGACAAGAAGCCCCGGCUAACUUCGUGCCAGCAGCCGCGGUAAUACGAAGGGGGCUAGCGUUGUUCGGAAUUACUGGGCGUAAAGCGCGUGUAGGCGGGCUUUUAAGUCAGGGGUGAAAUGCCAAGGCUCAACCUUGGAACUGCCUUUGAUACUGGAAGUCUUGAGUCCGGGAGAGGUGAGUGGAACUGCGAGUGUAGAGGUGAAAUUCGUAGAUAUUCGCAAGAACACCAGUGGCGAAGGCGGCUCACUGGCCCGGAACUGACGCUGAGACGCGAAAG